This 689-nucleotide long non-coding RNA is filed under the name Vulpes vulpes (red fox). RNAcentral describes it as "lncRNA (ENSVVUG00000027546.1)". The record is from RNAcentral. Lineage: Eukaryota; Metazoa; Chordata; Mammalia; Carnivora; Canidae.
CAGACGCCCAGGGGGGCGGAGGGAUGUGCCCGAGGACACACAGCACUGAGGAGCUGGGCUCCCCUUGGGCAGGGAGGACUCCAAGGCCAUCUCCUCCUGCCUGACCAGCACCCAGGGACGGGCAAUAGGGGGACAGAGCACGUCUACAGCAGAGGCGGGGGAACCCAGGUCCAGGCUGACCGUCCAGUGGUGUGCAGCGGUCAGCCCAGGCUCGGGGUCCCCUCGCAGGGCAGCCUGUCCGCAGGAUCUGCUGGGGCCUCGGGCCCAGGUGGGGCGCACCCACCGACACUUGGUGUCUCUCUGCAGAGGCGAAGAUGCUAGAUCUGGAGGGUUCUGGCAAGCUCACCAUCCUCCGAGGCUGCCCGGGGCUGCCAGGGGCCGUGGGGUCCAAGGGAGACGCAGGCGUCGAUGGAGCGAGAGUUUGCAGGAGCACCUGGUCCCCCUGGAGACCCUGGGAAGGCCAGACCACCAGGACCCAAACAAAGGUUUUCCAGUGAAGGACCGACAGCUCCGUGAACUUCUGCAAUUGGGCCUCCUGCAAGCAGGGCUCCGGCAGUCAGCUGGGGGAAUUCUGGCUGGGGAAUGAGAACAUCCACACACUGACCACCCAGGGUAGGGCCCGUCACCCCCUGCCCUGACCUCAGCCUGGGCCCUGGAUCGAGGCCCUUGUCCCUCGUCCUGCGGGUGCU